This is a long non-coding RNA of Plodia interpunctella (Indianmeal moth), 1138 nucleotides long. RefSeq lists it as uncharacterized. The record is from RefSeq and is a predicted model, not a curated record. Lineage: Eukaryota; Metazoa; Arthropoda; Insecta; Lepidoptera; Pyralidae. The transcript is spliced from 8 exons.
UUUGCCAAGGUUAUAUGCUGAUGCAAACACUGGAUGCUUCAAUGUCAUAGAAAUUUAUAUGUUUUUAACACGUACCUGACUCUCAGUAAUAGGAAAAUUAACACCAGGAUUUCUUCUUCUCGAACUAAGGCCACUGUCAGCAGAAAACUAGAAACAAAAAUAAGGUAUCUACUUAUUUGGAAAAAAAAUAUCUGAGCUAAGCUAAAGACAUGUUACUAUUUUACUAAUAGUAAUAAAAUAAUUAUACUACAGAGGGAUACAAAACUGCAUCGAUUGAACUGCUGGCAAUCUUCAGAACAAUUGAAAUAUCAUUCAAGCUGCAGCUAAUAAUUUCAGCAAUUGUGGAAAUUGUUGUUUUUGUGUUGUGUGAUUUUUUCUUCAAUAUUUGUAAAUCAGUCAAUUCAACAGCUAUGCAUAAAUGAAAAUGUAAUACAGAAGAAAAAUAUCGUAGUAUCGAUAAUCUAAUACAAGUAGCUGGUGAACCGAGGAAUGCAUAUACUACCUUAUUCAGAAUACAAAAUCUAUCUCAUACUCAUACGACCAGCCAUAGUUGAACUGCGUAACUAAUAAUAGUACAGGUGGUGACAACGAAAAUAGAUAUUUAAAUAUUUGAAAUAAAGAAAAACAGAAGAAAAUGAUUGCUGAAUUCCGGUCAACAGCCUCUGCCUUCAUGGAAAUCUUCAAACACAAAGUACAUCAGCCCUACAUCAAAACUAUAACAAUAUAUGAAAUGAUCAACAAAAUGUUUUGAAAUUCAAAUUCAUCUCAACUACAUACGUGAAGUAAUGCCUAAUAGAAGGCCAAUAAAAACGAAACAUGGCGGAAUUCGACAACUUUUAUCAAUUUUACCAACUGGACCAAGAUUAAAUAGCCAUUAUGACAAGAUGCUCACUAUCCGAAGAAAGCGCGUAAGACAAAUCAAACGAAAUAAAUGAAACAUCGACGUCGAAAUCGUCAGCAUUACACUCUACCACAUAAUACAAAUGUAAACCAUUGAAAUGAAGAUCAGCCAGAUGGACAUGAAAGGCAUCGUACCAGAACAGAAUACAUUUCUAUUUUAUUUUUUGUGUUUUGGUGAAAUAAAUAUUCAAGAAAUUAAAAAAGUUAGAAAACUUUGUAGUUUUAUUGAUGUUUUCAU